Molecule: ribosomal RNA, 497 nt
Filed under: uncultured bacterium
Lineage: Bacteria
Description: partial 16S ribosomal RNA
Rfam family: Bacterial small subunit ribosomal RNA
Source: RNAcentral
GAUGAACGCUGGCGGCGUGCCUAAUACAUGCAAGUCGAGCGAACAGACGAGGAGCUUGCUCCUUUGACGUUAGCGGCGGACGGGUGAGUAACACGUAGGUAACCUACCUAUAAGACUGGGAUAACUUCGGGAAACCGGAGCUAAUACCGGAUAAUAUUUCGAACCGCAUGGUUCGAUAGUGAAAGAUGGCUUUGCUAUCACUUAUAGAUGGACCUGCGCCGUAUUAGCUAGUUGGUAAGGUAACGGCUUACCAAGGCAACGAUACGUAGCCGACCUGAGAGGGUGAUCGGCCACACUGGAACUGAGACACGGUCCAGACUCCUACGGGAGGCAGCAGUAGGGAAUCUUCCGCAAUGGGCGAAAGCCUGACGGAGCAACGCCGCGUGAGUGAUGAAGGUCUUCGGAUCGUAAAACUCUGUUAUUAGGGAAGAACAAACGUGUAAGUAACUGUGCACGUCUUGACGGAACCUAAUCAGAAAGCCACGGCUAACUACGUG